CGCCAGCCCACACGGGCCUCCACCCCAACCUACCUACAUGCGGCAUCCCCCAGCAGUCCAACGCCUGCAACAGCGCUACUCCCUACCGGCAUCCAGCGCACGUCCUCGCAGGCCAGACCGUUCCACAGUCCACGUAGACCUCGCUGCAGACCCACGCCCAGCAGCUCAUCCCAGCACCGAUCCGGAGAUCCCUGUAGCACCAGACCACAGUGCCUAGCCCAGCACGUACCGCCCUCCCAGUGCCCUGGCCCAGCAAGCACAGCCUUCCCCGCAGCCUGCACGCCCAGCCCCGUGCACCAAUAGCAGCAUCCCCGUGCCCACCUCACCGACCUCCAUCUAGAUCUGGCGGCCUUCCCACUCGAUCCCAGCCCACCGGGCCGAGCAUCGCAGCAUCCAGCCUCCUGCCUCCUGCCCCCGCGCGUCUGUGGCAGCCCCUAGUGCCUUGCAGCAGCUACCCACCCUCGCAGCAACCCGCUUGCAGUAGCCCCACGCCUCCACCAUACCUGCAAACCCGCAAGUAGCAACUCACCG
RNAcentral lists this long non-coding RNA (531 nucleotides) under Rosa chinensis. RNAcentral describes it as "sRNA RchiOBHm_Chr0c39g0503151". Lineage: Eukaryota; Viridiplantae; Streptophyta; Magnoliopsida; Rosales; Rosaceae. The record is from RNAcentral.